ACCUGCGGAAGGAUCAUUACCGAGUGCGGGUCCUUUGGGCCCAACCUCCCAUCCGUGUCUAUUGUACCCUGUUGCUUCGGCGGGCCCGCCGCUUGUCGGCCGCCGGGGGGGCGCCUCUGCCCCCCGGGCCCGUGCCCGCCGGAGACCCCAACACGAACACUGUCUGAAAGCGUGCAGUCUGAGUUGAUUGAAUGCAAUCAGUUAAAACUUUCAACAAUGGAUCUCUUGGUUCCGGCAUCGAUGAAGAACGCAGCGAAAUGCGAUAACUAAUGUGAAUUGCAGAAUUCAGUGAAUCAUCGAGUCUUUGAACGCACAUUGCGCCCCCUGGUAUUCCGGGGGGCAUGCCUGUCCGAGCGUCAUUGCUGCCCUCAAGCCCGGCUUGUGUGUUGGGUCGCCGUCCCCCUCUCCGGGGGGACGGGCCCGAAAGGCAGCGGCGGCACCGCGUCCGAUCCUCGAGCGUAUGGGGCUUUGUCACAUGCUCUGUAGGAUUGGCCGGCGCCUGCCGACGUUUUCCAACCAUUCUUUCCAGGUUGACCUCGGAUCAGGUAGGGAUACCCGCUGAACUUAAGCAUAUCAAUAAGCGGAGGAAUCCCGAGUGCGGGUCCUUUGGGCCCAACCUCCCAUCCAU
This 628-nucleotide ribosomal RNA is filed under the name Aspergillus niger. RNAcentral describes it as "eukaryotic LSU rRNA". The stretch from base 206 to 359 matches the Rfam family "5.8S ribosomal RNA". Lineage: Eukaryota; Fungi; Ascomycota; Eurotiomycetes; Eurotiales; Aspergillaceae. The record is from RNAcentral.